UUGGAGGGCAAGUCUGGUGCCAGCAGCCGCGGUAAUUCCAGCUCCAAUAGCGUAUAUUAAAGUUGUUGCAGUUAAAAAGCUCGUAGUUGAAUUUCGGGAUCAGGACGCCGGUCGUGCCUUCGGUAUGUACUGGUGUCACUGAUUCCUCCCUUCUGACGAACCGUUAUGCCAUUUAUUUGGUGUGGCGGGGAAUCAGGACUGUUACUUUGAAAAAAUUAGAGUGUUUAAAGCAGGCUCGCGCUUGAGUACAUUAGCAUGGAAUAAUGAAAUAGGACGUUUGAUUCUAUUUUGUUGGUUUCUAGGAUCGACGUAAUGAUUAAUAGGGAUAGUUGGGGACAUUAGUAUUCAAUUGUCAGAGGUGAAAUUCUUGGAUUUAUUGAAGACUAACCACCGCGAAUGCAUUUGCCAAGGAUGUUUUCAUUAAUCAAGAACGAAAGUUAGGGGAUCGAAGACGAUCAGAUACCGUCGUAGUCUUAACCAUAAACUAUGCCGACUAGGGAUCGGAUGAUGUUAAUUUUUUAAUGACUCAUUCGGCGCCUUACGGGAAAC
This 549-nucleotide ribosomal RNA is filed under the name uncultured Glomus. RNAcentral describes it as "SSU rRNA". It matches the Rfam family "Eukaryotic small subunit ribosomal RNA", at positions 548 to 1098 of the family's 1831-position model. The record is from RNAcentral. Lineage: Eukaryota; Fungi; Glomeromycota; Glomeromycetes; Glomerales; Glomeraceae.